Molecule: ribosomal RNA, 101 nt
Filed under: Prolemur simus (greater bamboo lemur)
Lineage: Eukaryota; Metazoa; Chordata; Mammalia; Primates; Lemuridae
Source: RNAcentral
GUCUAUGGCCAUACUAACUUGAACGCGCCUGAUCCCGUCUGAUCUCUGGUCAGGCCUGGUUAGUACUUGGAUGGGAGAUGUUUGCUUAAUUGCAGUGGUCU